CAUCGAAAUUUUGUCUUAUAAACUUUUUACUAUUAAUACAUUAACUUUACUGAUGCUGGUCACCUGAUUAGUGAAACAUAACUCCAAGAAUUUUUAAUUUUUGUUGAAUUAUUCUGCCCACUGUGUUAAAACAGACUCCAACUUUCAUAAACCAAGCGAAUUAUUGUGCACAUUUGGAAAACAGAAUAUAGAGAAAAUAGAGAAAGCACCCUUACCUGACGAAAAAAUGAUGGAGCCGGAGUCAAUUUUAGUUCAUCCUGACUACCGAACUGGAUCUGCAAACGCUGAUAUUGCACUACUUAAAUUUGAGGAUAUUGAGUUCAAUCCAAUAAUAAAACCACUUUGUUUGUGGACAGGAGCAAAUGAAUUAAAUCUAAUUGUAGGCAGACAAGGAACUGUAG
Sitophilus oryzae (rice weevil) is the source of this 401-nucleotide long non-coding RNA. RefSeq lists it as uncharacterized. NCBI's taxonomy places the organism in Eukaryota, Metazoa, Arthropoda, Insecta, Coleoptera, Curculionidae. The record is from RefSeq and is a predicted model, not a curated record. The transcript is spliced from 3 exons.